UCGGGUAAUUCAACUACAGCGCGUCCUACUUUUGUAGGAGUGAGGAAAGUCCGGACUUCAUAGAGCAAGAUGCUGGUUAACGGCCAGGCGGGGAAACUCGACGGAAAGUGCAACAGAGAAUACACAGCCGAAGCCGCAAGGCUGGCAAUGGUGAAAACGUGAGGUAAGAGCUCACGGACAUGGCUGGUGACAGUCGGUUUGGCAAACCCCAUCUGAAGCAAAGCCAAAUAGGGGUGGAGAGUUGGCUCGGCUCACUGACACUCGGGUUGGCUGCAAAGAAUGCUACGGUAACGUAACAUCAAGAGAAAUUGUAGUUUUAAACAGAAUCCGGCUUAUGGGUUACCCGAAUUU
Molecule: RNase P RNA, 351 nt
Filed under: Silvanigrella paludirubra
Lineage: Bacteria; Pseudomonadati; Bdellovibrionota; Oligoflexia; Silvanigrellales; Silvanigrellaceae
Description: Silvanigrella sp. SP-Ram-0.45-NSY-1 RNase P RNA component class A
Rfam family: Bacterial RNase P class A
About the family: Ribonuclease P (RNase P) is a ubiquitous endoribonuclease, found in archaea, bacteria and eukarya as well as chloroplasts and mitochondria. Its best characterised activity is the generation of mature 5'-ends of tRNAs by cleaving the 5'-leader elements of precursor-tRNAs.
Source: RNAcentral